Molecule: ribosomal RNA, 253 nt
Filed under: uncultured bacterium
Lineage: Bacteria
Description: partial 16S ribosomal RNA
Rfam family: Bacterial small subunit ribosomal RNA
Source: RNAcentral
UACGUAGGGUGCGAGCGUUAAUCGGAAUUACUGGGCGUAAAGCGCGCGCAGGCGGUUUGUUGUGUCUGAUGUGAAAGCCCCGGGCUUAACCUGGGAAUGGCAUUGGAAACUGGCAAGCUGGAGUGUGGCAGAGGGGGGUGGAAUUCCGCGUGUAGCAGUGAAAUGCGUAGAGAUGCGGAGGAACACCGAUGGCGAAGGCAGCCCCCUGGGCCAACACUGACGCUCAGGCACGAAAGCGUGGGGGGCAAACAGG